This 2306-nucleotide long non-coding RNA is filed under the name Equus asinus (donkey). RNAcentral's name for it is "lncRNA (ENSEASG00005029959.1)". Lineage: Eukaryota; Metazoa; Chordata; Mammalia; Perissodactyla; Equidae. The record is from RNAcentral.
GAUCAUCAAAGCGGCCCAAAUGCCGGGAGAAUUUGAAGGGAAUGUGUGUGUAGGGGGGUCGCGUUUAGGGGAGAGGCGGGAGGCGCGCUCCUCGCAGGGACCGACUGCGGCAGGGUGGAGCGAGACCAGGAGGGAAGUCUCACUUGUGUGCGCGUGUAAGGCAGAUACCCAGGGCACUGUGACGUCCCUUAGCAGGACUGGACGAGGCCUCCGAGCUGCUCCAGGCCGGUCAGAAGCCGGCGGACAGCCGCGCAGCGGGCAAGGAUGCUCUGUGCAGCGGCUGGAGGGUGAAGCGGCGCGCUACGAGCUGUCCGGCCCCCGGAAAUGCGGGAGUCGUUUCCCCUCCCGGAGUUGCCCCCUUUCCCCUCCGCCCCUUUCCAAACAGUUAAAAAAUACUUCGUCCCCCUUCCCUCCGUAGACAUAAACCCUCCAGCACAGCUGAUCUUCCUCAGGGAUGGGGCUGUUGAGGCCUCGAGCCGGGGUCCUGGACCAGCCUGAAGGCGGCUCCAGGCUCUUCCUCUCCGAGAGAGCCCCGGGCUCCGACAGGCCAGGAGUCCUGUGCAUCCUGGAGACUCGUUAGCGCGCUGCCUCGCGCAGGGAUCUGGAGCGUAGCAGUUGUGCCGGGUGGAGGGAAUGGGUUCUCUCGGGUCAACAGAGCCAGAAAAGACAGUCAGUGCCCCGGGUCCAGAGUCAGCCUCCACGGGCACACGCCACAAGCCUCCUUUCCGGAUCAUCUCCGCUUGGCAUCCAUCACCAGUCGCUGUUCCAAAUCCAGGCGCGUGGGUAGGUCUCGCGGGCAGGGAGAACGCAAGGCAGCUGUGGAAGAGAACACUGCGAGCCGCAGGCGCAGCGUCAGACAGCGUUUCCUUAAAGCUACCGGAAUAACCGAGAGGUUUCCCGCGCUCUGUGGACCCGCAGUGCAAAUGCAGGCCCAGCUGUUGUGCUGUCCGUUGCCCAGUUUACUGUUCCCUGCGUACACUCCUCAGGCCUCGCAACUGGUUCAGGUUCGCCCUGCAAGGCUCAAGUCUCAGAAGCAGCUCGAAGGCCUCCUUCUGUUCCCUGUGGCUUUGCAUUUGAGCUCAUCCUCGGCACUCCUUCCUGCGAAAUCCGCGUGCACACAACGCACUCACCCUCCUGCUGCCUUAACAAAGGCUUCCCUCUCUGGCGCUACUGCUACGCCCACCUCAUCGCGGGGACAACCAGGCCGCCUGGUCCUGCCACACCUGAGGAGGGCAGACUGGGCCGUCCCUUCCUACGCGCCAGGCCCUAUUGGCUAACUCAGACGCAGGCGGGAGCUUCCCACGGAGCGACCAGAUGUUGGCCCCGGGAUUUGGAAGGCAAGAAGAACCCCCAGUGAACUCGCUGUCAUCUCGGCGUCUCGACCUGAAAAAGCUCUUAAAGCUGCCGUCGGUGUCCCGGCCGGGGGCGACAGUCCUGGCAAAUUGCGACAGGGAGCAGGAAAUGUGCUUAGGUCUCACUCUGUCGAGUUUUCCAAAUUAGUUCCCAAGAAGUUGAGAAUGGGUCUGUAGGAAAACACACACACACACACACACACACACACACACACACACACACACACACACAGGCCGAGCCCUCGCCCCGCCGGUGCUCCAGGGUUAUCAUGCGCUCGGCCUGCGCGGCGGUCUGGGGCCUGGCCCUGACAGCCAGAUCUACCAUCAAUUUACCUUCCGCCGCCCCAGCUUCCCAUUUAGCUUUUAACGUCAAAUCCUGCAUUUUUGUCGGCUCCGGCCUGUCUAGAGAGCUUGUGAUUUCGCUGCAGGAGUGAUUGCUUUUAACAAAAUGGCAGCAACCACAUUAUCCGAGCAAUUAAAGCAGAAGCCUUUUAGGCGGUCCCGCAAGGCAAGAGCUUGGAAACUUUUUUUUUUAAAGCGAAGGCGAAAGGGAGUUAAAAAGAAAGAAAUGCGUAGAAGAGAAAAGCAUGGAAGCGCGGAAGAAACCCCUGCCAGCCCACCACUCACUUCCCUGGGACUUGACCACGCGGGGCAGAGAUGUUGGGUGCCCGGGAGCAUUGGGAAGGUUGGGAUGUAGGGGCGGCUGGAGUGACAGGAAAUCUGGUGUGUCUUGCCGGUUGAAGUGUCUGGCCAGUUGGGGUGUGCGUCCGUUAGGGUGUUUAGCCCCCUGGCGUGUCCGGUCUGCUGGCUAUCUGCCCAGCUGGGGUUUCCAGCGGGUUGGGAAGUCGAGGUGGUUAGGCUGUCGGAGCCUGGUGCUGCGGGCCGAGCAGGCGGCGCGGCAGGGAGAGGAGGCCGGCGGCUCCCGGCUCAGGCCAGACAAAGAGGACGGGUUUC